Molecule: long non-coding RNA, 135 nt
Organism: Mustela erminea (ermine)
Lineage: Eukaryota; Metazoa; Chordata; Mammalia; Carnivora; Mustelidae
Exons: 3
Source: RefSeq, a predicted model, not a curated record
UAAUUUUGGCCAUUUUAACUGUGUAAGAGGAAAUCUCAAUGUGGUCUUAAUUUGAAUCCCCCUGAGGGCUAAUGAUGAUGAACAUUUUUUCAUGUGUCUGAUGGCCAUUUGUAUGUCUUCAUUGGAGAAGUGUCU